GGAAAGGUGCAGGAGUGGUUUAACUGGCACGCCUGGAAAGCGUGUGUACUCGCAAGGGUACCGAGGGUUCGAAUCCCUCCCUUUCCG
This 87-nucleotide transfer RNA is filed under the name Ignavibacteriota bacterium. Its description in RNAcentral is "Ignavibacteriae bacterium (activated sludge metagenome) tRNA-Ser". It matches the Rfam family "tRNA". From Rfam's summary of the family: Transfer RNA (tRNA) molecules are approximately 80 nucleotides in length. Lineage: Bacteria; Pseudomonadati; Ignavibacteriota. The record is from RNAcentral. RNAcentral also lists the same sequence under 2 other names.